CCUACGGGUGGCAGCAGUGGGGAAUAUUGCACAAUGGGGGAAACUCUGAUGCAGCCACGCCGCGUGAGUGAAGAUGUAUUUCGGUAUGUAAAGCUCUAUCAGCAGGGAAGUUAAUGACUGUACCUGACUAAGAAGCUCCGACCAACGACGUGCCAGCAGCCGCGGUACGUCGCAGGGGGCAAGCGUUAUCCGGAUUUACUGGGUGUAAAGGGUGUGUAGGUGGUAGGGCAAGUCAGAUGUGAAAGCCCGGGGCUCAAGCCCUGUACUGCAGUUGAAACUGUCCAGCUGGAGUGCAGGAGAGGUAGGCGGAAUGCGUGGUGUAGCGGUGAAAUGCGUAGAUAUCACGAAGAACACCGAUUGCGAAGGCAGCUUACGGGACUGCAACUGACACUGAGGCACGAAAGCGUGGGGAGCAAACAGGAUUAGAUACCCCUGUAGUC
This 440-nucleotide ribosomal RNA is filed under the name uncultured bacterium. Its description in RNAcentral is "partial 16S ribosomal RNA". It matches the Rfam family "Bacterial small subunit ribosomal RNA", at positions 338 to 795 of the family's 1533-position model. The record is from RNAcentral.